CGGACGGGUGAGUAACGCGUGGGUAACCUGCCUUGUACAGGGGGAUAACAGUCAGAAAUGACUGCUAAUACCGCAUAAGCGCACAGGACCGCAUGGUCCGGUGUGAAAAACUCCGGUGGUAUAAGAUGGACCCGCGUUGGAUUAGCUAGUUGGUGAGGUAACGGCCCACCAAGGCGACGAUCCAUAGCCGGCCUGAGAGGGUGAACGGCCACAUUGGGACUGAGACACGGCCCAG
RNAcentral lists this ribosomal RNA (235 nucleotides) under uncultured bacterium. Its description in RNAcentral is "partial 16S ribosomal RNA". It matches the Rfam family "Bacterial small subunit ribosomal RNA", at positions 99 to 334 of the family's 1533-position model. The record is from RNAcentral.